Triticum aestivum (bread wheat) is the source of this 3908-nucleotide long non-coding RNA. RefSeq lists it as uncharacterized. The transcript is spliced from 12 exons. The record is from RefSeq and is a predicted model, not a curated record. NCBI's taxonomy places the organism in Eukaryota, Viridiplantae, Streptophyta, Magnoliopsida, Poales, Poaceae.
AUUUCCGCCGCCACGCCACGCGCACCUCGGCCAAGGACAAGGCUCCGGCUGCCGCCACCGCCUCUGCCCCGGCUAUAAGCCGCGCCCUUUGGCCGGCCCGCUCCUCCUCCUCCUCGCUUCGCCCGGGCCGUGCCUUCCUCCUCCUCGCCGCGCCCUGCCCGGUCCGCUCCUCCUCCUCUUCGUCCAGGCGGUGCCUCUCUCCUCCGACCUCCCCGCCGCACUCCGGCUGGUCCGCUGCUCCUCCACCCUUCGCCCGGGCCGGGUGUAUGUCCUCCUCGAGCCGGAUUUCAUCUUGCUCGUCCUCCUCGAUCAAUUUCCCCCUCUAGAAUCGCGUCCGGAUUUGAUUUUGCUCGCCCUCGCCCUCGCCGGUUUACAUAGAUAGAAAUCCCGCCUGAUUUGAUUUUGCUCGUUCUCGCCGUCGUCCGUCUAGAACCGCGUCCGAUUUGAUUUUGCUCGUGCUCAUUUCGUCAGUUUAGAGUCGCUUCCGAGUUGAUUUUGCGCGUCCCCGCCGUCGUCGGUCUAGAGUCGCUUCUGAUUUGGUUCUGCUCGUCCUCGCCGUCGUCCGUUUUUGCUCGUCCUUGCCGUUUGCCCCGGCGCGCUCGCAUGUUCUUGGUCCGUCUCGUCGAGGGUGUUCGUCUGGUUUGCGGUUCAGAAAUCUCUGCGUGCGCUUCUGUUGUCCGAGCGACACCUUGGAUCCCCGCGUUUCGUGUUCGUGUCAGCGCGAGCGUUACAGGAACGGUAGGGUCUUGGUUUUGAAAUUAGGUUACGGCCGGAGAUGGAGAGGCGGAGAGCAAUUGUCAGUAUGUCGUGCUAGUUCAGAUCGGUUCAUAGGCUCCUGCGUUGUUCGUCGGUUGUUGUCUGAUCUCAAACGCCUAGCUUGUUCGUGUUAGCCUAGAUACUCUGUUUCACUUUCGUCAGGCUAGAUGCAGGGGUGAUUUUGUUCUGAUGGGUGUUAAUGCUUCUGUUCUUUUCAAUUGGUUACUUCCUAUCAUGCUUUGCUUAUGUUCCAUAUAUGGUGAUGUGUGUUCAGGGGUGCAAACCAUGUAGGCCGUGGGUGCCAUUUCCAGCAGGCAGCAGAGCAGAAAGUAGUGCAAAUCAUGUGGCUGCUGCUUGACAUUGAACACCUGCUGCUGCUACUGCUGGACAAGGUUUCCUUCUUUUGUUCCUCAUGUUGCUAUUUCCAUUUUCAUAUUGGAGUACUAGAUGGGGUGCCUCAGACUUUGUUCUAGAUUGCAUAGCAUAACUCCAGAAUUUUGUCAUUACACACCUGAGCAUAAUUCCAGAGUUUAUUUAUCUGUGAAAGCACGCUCAUCACACGUUUCUUAUCAAUGCUGCUCACUUUUGUCAUGUCCCGUUUGUUUGUCCUGUUAAAUUUUAUGGAGCAAAUUUUGUACUCACUGGUUAAAAUAUCAAGAAUGCUGACUUUUGUAUUUGUCUCUAUGUAAGCCAUGCACUUGGGAAGCCUGGGCGUGAUUAGGAUUUGGAUUGCAUAUAGAUUUUAUGCUAUGUUUGUUUAUAACCUGGUUGUGACCUAAUAUAGUGUAAAUCUGCUAAUUUUUUUAUUUAAUUUGUGUUCAAUGCAAGUAGGUUUUGUUCGUAAGUGGUAUUUCUUUUGCGUGUGCAUGAACAUUCAUGCUGUCAAUUUUUCUUAUCAUAAUCAUUUACCGUGGUGUUUGACAAUACAUUUCUAGAGUUCUUUGUUCCCUUUUGAGGUUCCCUGACUCAAUUAUGCAUGAGAUAUGAUAUCAAUUACUGUUGUCCAGUCGCUGAAAUAAUGCUUUUCUUGCUUUGCCUAGACCUUGUUGCAAGAAUAAGCAUGUGUCUCUGUGCCUACAAACUUGUGGGUAGUGCCGUAGUGAUGAUGAUCUAACUAGCUUCCUGUUUUCAGGAAUGAAGAUCUGAAUUACCCUCACCCCUCUACAGAAAUCAGUUUACUCAUUCAGUUUCUGGAACUUCUUUAUAUUAGCUUUAUUUUUGUACCCUUAUCUAUGUCUGUUUCUGUUUCCUUGUGUGUUUCUUGUGUGCAAGCGAUCCAUUGUGUGUGUCUGAUUGUGUGUCUGUCUGACUGUAUGUGUGAUGUGCCCCUAUCUAUGUAUGUUUCUUUGUCUGUUUCAUGUGUGCAAACACUCCAUUGUCUGCGUGUGACUGUUUGACUGCUUAGAUGGGGUGAUGAUUCUGAUUGUGUUACUGAUUGUAUGAUCUGUCCAAUUGGUUUCUUCUUCAUGCUUUGCUUGUGUUCCAAUGUCGUCUCCCCAUAUAUGGGGAUCUGUUCAAGGAUGCAAACCAUGUAGGCCGUUUCGAGCAGGCAGGGAUCCAGAGACAUGCACUGGUCAGGCUUCUCUCCUGCUGAUAGAUGAUGAUAGGCUGAGCAGAAAAGUUUGAUUCUUGUAACACUCACUUGCUUGGCUUCCACUCCUUUGCGUGGCCGAUUUGGCAUCCAAUGCAUCCCAUGCCCUUUUCCCUGUUUAUCUCACUCACUCAUCACAGCACCCUUUUCCCUGCUUUUGUUCCUUAUUUUUCUUAUCAUAAUAAUCAUGUUUACCGUGGUGUUUGACAAUACAUUUUUUGUGAUAUCUGUGUUUGACAAUAAUUAUGUUCUUUUUUUGGUAUUACUGAUGUCCGAUCACUGGAAUAAUGCUUCUGUAAGUAUUUCAGGUAGGAUAUAGACAAAUGUCACAUUUGCUCUUCCUUGCAUUGCUGAGGACACUGAUGGGUUGGGUUUGCUUACAGCGCAGGACAGAUAAUUCUAUAAAGAAUCAUUGGAAUAUUUCUUUGAGAAAGAAGAUAGAUAUCUAUGGCACCAGAAAUAUUUUGGCAAUUCCAAGACUAAUUGCCUUGAUGACUUCAAGUAUAAACAAAAGACGGCUGCUUCUGAGGGCCAUCUUGACCUGAACAACUCAUCAUUCUAAUUUUAGCUCACCUCUACAGUCAUACAAACUGGCACGCCAAUGCUCCGGGUUCCUAUUGCUUUCUGUUAGCCCAACUAAGGUUCAUCUUGUGACACAAAAUACAAUUUUGGUACGUGCAGACUCUGAAAUUUGGUGAUAAAGAAAAGAAUCCAGGGUGGAUGGAGGUUUUCAUGAUGGCUAAUUUGAUUUGUUAUGGUUCUGAUGGUGUGCUUCUUGUGUUUGAACUGAAGCCGUGGAUCACUCAUCAACCUGGUCUGUGUUUGUAUGUGUGGUGAGCUCACAUAUUGUGUCAGUAUCUACCUACGCAGCUGAAUUAUUUCCGGAUAGGACAGAGGUGCAAUGUUUACAUCCAUGGUAGAAGGUUCUUUAACACUGAACUCAUCAAAGGUCCUUGGACUCAAGAGGAAGAUGAAAAAAUUAUUGACCUUGUAAACAAGUAUGGAUUAACAAAAUGGUCGCAUUGUAAGGUCAGCUACCAGAACUUCCUGCUGCUGAUCCUAGGAUGUUUCCGAACAUGUUCAAUUUGUCCGCCCUAGGACAGCCACUGCCAUGACACAGCAGGUUACUCGGCAUGCUCUGCGUGUUUACUUUGGUGGACUUCCUCCGAUCGCUAAUGAACAGACGGUUGCUCUAUUCUUCAAUCAAGUUCUGGCUGCUAUCGGGGGAAACACAUUUGGUCUAGGUGGCAUAAUCAUCUGAAUCCAAACAUAUGGAAUGAUGCUUGGACUACUGAGGAGGAACAUGCACUGAUUAAUGCCAUCAAAUAUAUGGGAAUAAAUGAGCAGAAAUAGCAAAAGUUAUUCCUGGAAGACGUGAUAGAGCUCAAUUGGUGGCACUCGUAGGCUUUGAAGAGGACGUUGCGAGCUCGAGCCCAUGAUACGCCAACCUUUUUUUCACUCCCUGGGAAGCCAGCCACGUUGAGACUUUUGGCCCAGGUGACCUACAAAACGGGCUCAGGCUCAGGCUCAGGCUCCAAGCGAUGUGUGAAACGAUUUUUAA